Molecule: long non-coding RNA, 1628 nt
Organism: Nothobranchius furzeri (turquoise killifish)
Lineage: Eukaryota; Metazoa; Chordata; Actinopteri; Cyprinodontiformes; Nothobranchiidae
Source: RefSeq, a predicted model, not a curated record
GAGCAAGUAACGUCUAAAUUAACUUUUUUUUGCUGAUGAACUGUAUAAAUGAGUGUCUAAUAGUGUUUUAAAUGUGUGUAUUCAUUAUUUUAGCAUUUUGGUGCAUUUUCUUUAAAAAUUAAAAAUUCUGCCUAAAUACUACAGUAUAGCUCCACCUUCAGCUUAAAACAUAGAAUUUGACUCAUUUUGAAUAAAUUUUAGCCAAUGGCUAAAGAGUAAGAUACUACGUAAACCAGUAGAGUACUACGUAGCAGCUCUCUGUCAAAGUUAUAAAAGCAAUGAGAGUCUCGGCCACGCCUUGUGGCGAGUUGGGAGUUGGAUUUGCAAGCGAGUGUAGGCUAGCCGUAGUUCAGCAUUAGCAUAUAGCAUUAGCAUAUCCUAGUCUUUAGCAUAGCUUUUAGUGUUAUACAUACUUAUUUAGUGUUAGCUUGGCUGUUGGAUAUUGUAGUUAAGUUAGUGUUUGGCUGUUAGUGUAAUUAGGAAAGUAGUUAGGGUUUAGUGCUCCAUAUCGUGUUAGCAUGGUAAGAUGGUGUAGUGUAGUAUGGUUGCGGUAGCUCUGUGGGCAUUUUACCCACGAUUCUGCACGCCUCCGUUUGAAGAGGGAGGCUGUGCCCACCGUGGCUCUUCCGCGAUUUAGAUGCAGCCCACCGACUCUGCUCCCCCACCACGGCGGGCUCCAGUCUGAGGUGAGUCAGCUAAAUAAAGUUUUAACAUCUUCUAAAGACAAUUCCCUACCUAAAUGCAAAGUCCGAGAGACGUGGUUCACUUCCUUUAGCUAGUCAGUCGGUAAUUCUGCAACAGUGUCUCUAACUAACGCAGCACCAGUUGACAGACAGCAUUACAGCAUGAAACCCAGCUUGUGACCCGGUUCUGUGAGGAAUUCUGUUCAGGAGGUCGCAUUUCAGGCUCUCCACAUCAUAUGUGACUGACUUUUACGUUAUAACAACGAUCACACUAGGAAUGGUAUAAAGCGCCUUUAUAGGACAGUUUCUUUUGUAUUUUAUCUGACUUUAUAAACUCCCAACAACAAUGUGCUUCUAUUUUUUUUUUUUCAGGCUAAAUCUACCCAAGACACUGGCUGUCAGACUGAUUUAGCUGCAAGAAUGUACUUGUCCAGGCUGAUGUGAAGCUUUACCGGCGUAGCAAAGUCAGCCAGAAGAGCUCACAGCCUCAGUGUGUCUUGUGACACAAGGAUCAUGACAGAAAUUCAUCUUCCAGAAAGUCAGAGCAGCGUCCACACCCCUGACGAUGUGAGGUGUCUGCUGUUGAUUCCAGCUUCCACCUCAGUGACAGUGCAAGCUCAGUGAACUGUUCAAGGAGGCUACUGAUUCUGGCCCUGUGACACUUGGUGGUGACGUGUGAGCUGAUUCACCUGGACACUCAGCAAAAUAUGGACUCUACACCAUGAGGCAGGCACAAGUUAAUACUUAUAAGAGCACAUAAGCAUGAGGAUGUCCUCACACACCUGUAACCUAUCAGCUCAUCUGGCAGAAUAGAGAGAGAAGAGACAACACCACAUCUCCUGUUCCUGGAAAGCCUUCAGCCUUCCUUCGAUGAAUGAGAACCUCCAUCAGCUCUGUCUCCUGUCUACCUACAAUUAUUAUAAUAAAUAUUGUGUUUGACAAGUU